AACGCGAAGAACCUUACCCAGACUUGACAUGCAGGAGACGAUAGCAGAAAUGUUAUUUCCCUUCGGGGCUGCUGCACAGGUGCUGCAUGGCUGUCGUCAGCUCGUGCCGUGAGGUGUUGGGUUAAGUCCCGCAACGAGCGCAACCCUUAUCGUUAGUUGCCAUCGCGUGAUGGCGGGCACUCUAGCGAGACUGCCUGGGUUAACCAGGAGGAAGGUGAGGAUGACGUCAAGUCAGCAUGGCCUUUAUGUCUGGGGCGACACACGUGCUACAAUGGCCGGUACAGAGGGCAGCAAAGUCGCGAGAUGGAGCAAAUCCUUAAAGCCGGUCUCAGUUCGGAUUGUAGUCUGCAACUCGACUACAUGAAGUUGGAAUUGCUAGUAAUGGCGCGUCAGCCACAGCGCCGUGAAUACGUUCCCGGGCCUUGUACACACCGGAGUA
Molecule: ribosomal RNA, 439 nt
Filed under: uncultured bacterium
Lineage: Bacteria
Description: bacterial SSU rRNA
Rfam family: Bacterial small subunit ribosomal RNA
Source: RNAcentral